CGAAGAAGAAACCGGAAACGGCGCCGUAAACAAAUUUAGUCUGUUUUAGAGCAUCAAAUCUGGAUUUAAUGAGAAGAUGGUGACUCUCAGUCUGCGGGGACUGGACCGGAUGUACUCUAUGGUCUUGCUGGCCCUUGUGGUCUUGUCCUGGUCUUAUGUGAUCUACGCCAGCAGAAUUGCAGCUCACUGGCUGCUGGAGAAACGGACCGCAGGUUCAGUUCAGUCUCCUGCUGCAGACUGACAGACUUCACAGCUCGACCUCCAGUUUUCAGGUUGGAAGCCACACAAUCAACCAAACGGGUGCUUCGGUAAAAUCUGUGGCACUGUGAGACAAUCAGACCAAUGAGAAGUGCACUGAGACAUUGGUCUGCUGUGUAAAACACCACAGAGACUUUGGCAGCGUGAUACAAGAGUCAUCACUGGAGCUGAAACGCCACCAGAUGGAUUCUCUUCAGUCCCAAUCCAGAUGUUCCACACUGUGGCCACCAGAGGUCGCUCUGAUUAUAGGAAACUAGGAAGCUCCGUCCUGUUGAAUUCCAGCUUCAUGUUGAACUGAUUCAUGAGUAACUACAGGUGUUUCUGAACUCUACACAUCUUAGCAUAGUGAAAACACUGGAAACAGAAACCAGACUCUGGCUAACCAUCCAUCCAUGGUCUCUUUUAUUCAUCCAUAAACAAAUAAGUGUGUUUUCCUUCCAGGUUGUUUAGGAACUCUGUCUGUGUUCUGUCUGGUUUAUUGAUAAGUUAUUUUUCAGCCGUUUCAGGUUUAUGUGAAAGGCUUGAUUUAAACAAAACCAUCUGAAUGGAAACACAUCAGCUCUGUGUGUGUGUCUGAUGUAUUCAAUAACUAAAGCUCAGAAACACACAUACACAAUGUGUUUGAAGUGUGUGUCCUCAGAUAUGUAAAUGCUGCUAACAGAAUGGGUGACUGAGAGAGAGAGGGUGAGCGAGCUAAAGACAGAAUGAGAGAGAGAGAGAGGACAUGUUCUUUUGGUGAGUACUCAUUCUAUUAACAAACACUUCAAACACACACACGCUCAUUCUCUGUGAUCUGUAAUUAAAAACCAGCCUGCCGUUCGUCCCUCAGCUCUUUGAGCCACAUUAACAAAAUGGGGAGAAAAACUCCAUUCAGAUGGAUGUUUUGGUUUAAUCAUUUAAUAAAAAUUUGAUCAACGCAUCUUUAUUUUUCUCAAGUUGCUGCAGUUCAAACGGACUGUGGAGCUAAAUGACAAAGAACAAUAAUUAGAGCUGAAAAUACAAUAAAAUUAAUUUAAUAGAUUUUAUUUAAAUAAGUGAGAAAAUAAAGCGACCCCUGACAAAAAAUCUAUACUAAAUUAAAAGCCUUGUGAAACGUUUGUGUUUAUGAAGAGCUGCCUUCUGCAGAUGAGACCUUGAAAACACACUUAUAUGGUGAGUUUGAGAGUUUCAGUCUGAGAAUUGACCCACAAAAUCAACAUAAAAGUGUUUUGAUCUGAAAAUCCUCCUUCGGGAUGUUUACUCUUUCAAAACUCCACUUUGC
Molecule: long non-coding RNA, 1519 nt
Filed under: Echeneis naucrates (live sharksucker)
Lineage: Eukaryota; Metazoa; Chordata; Actinopteri; Carangiformes; Echeneidae
Description: lncRNA (ENSENLG00000006474.1)
Source: RNAcentral